GUGGGUGUAGGAAUAUUGAGAGGAUCUGUCCCUAGUACGAGAGGACCGGGAUGGACGUACCUCUGGUGGACCUGUUGUGGCGCCAGCCGCAUUGCAGGGUAGCUAUGUAUGGACGGGAUAACCGCUGAAUGCAUCUAAGCGGGAAACCCACCUCAAAACCAGUUCUCCCUGAAGAGCCGUGGAAGACCACCACGUCGAUAGGAAGCGUGUGGAAGUGUGGCAAC
This 224-nucleotide ribosomal RNA is filed under the name Gambierdiscus australes. RNAcentral describes it as "partial Bacterial large subunit ribosomal RNA". It matches the Rfam family "Bacterial large subunit ribosomal RNA", at positions 2647 to 2882 of the family's 2925-position model. Lineage: Eukaryota; Dinophyceae; Gonyaulacales; Pyrocystaceae. The record is from RNAcentral.